RNAcentral lists this ribosomal RNA (445 nucleotides) under uncultured bacterium. Its description in RNAcentral is "partial 16S ribosomal RNA". It matches the Rfam family "Bacterial small subunit ribosomal RNA", at positions 354 to 796 of the family's 1533-position model. The record is from RNAcentral.
GUGAGGAAUAUUGGUCAAUGGGCGAGAGCCUGAACCAGCCAAGUCGCGUGAAGGAUGAAGGUUUUAUGAAUUGUAAACUUCUUUUGCAGGGGAAUAAAGUACGGUACGUGUACCGUUUUGUAUGUACUCUGCGAAUAAGGAUCGGCUAACUCCGUGCCAGCAGCCGCGGUAAUACGGAGAAUCCAAGCGUUAUCCGGAUUUAUUGGGUUUAAAGGGUGCGCAGGCGGGUUGAUAAGUCAGCGGUGAAAGUUUGCAGCUUAACUGUAAAAUUGCCGUUGAAACUGUCGAUCUUGAGUGCAAAUGAGGUAAGCGGAAUGUGUUGUGUAGCGGUGAAAUGCUUAGAUAUAACACAGAACACCGAUUGCGAAGGCAGCUUACUGGGAUGCAACUGACGCUCAUGCACGAAAGCGUGGGGAUCAAACAGGAUUAGAAACCCCGGUAGUCC